GUUCAUUGUUUGUUUAUUAUUCAGGUACUGGAGCUGGUUUUGGUUGGGCUGGAGUUUUUCCGGGUGGUGCUGGUGGACUUUAUCCUGGUGCAGGAGGCAAGGAUACAUUUUCCUUUGCAAUCCCCUAAAACCACAAUCAUAUAUUAAAGAAAUAGUCCAUAUUGAAAUGCAAGUCAUUUACUCAAGCAGCUAGUUUAGUGUUUACAUAUUUUCUUGGGUGUUGGAGCUGGUUUAGGUGGUGUUGGAGCAGGUGGUGCUGGCAGACUUUAUCCAGGGGCAGGAGGUGUGGGUGUUUUUACACCAGCUCAAGGUAAAGCAGCGAAAUAUGGUGCUGGUCCUGGAGUUACUGGUAUUGGUGGUGUACCAGGCGCAGGUGGACUCUUUCCUGGGGCAGGGGGUCCUGGUGCGCUCUCCCCUGCUCAGGCAAAAGCUGCUAAAUACGGUGCAGGAGUAGUUCCUGGUGGCGCUCGGAUUGUGCCAGGAGCUGGAGGGGUCUAUCCUGGACCGGGAGGUAAAAAAAAAAAAAUCUGUCUGUCUGUACAAAACAUCUUGAAGAAUAUUAAAACAUUAUAAUGGUCAUCAUAGAGUCUCAAAACCAUUUCUUUCUUUCUAAGGUCUUACUCCUGCCCAAGCAAAAGCUGCUAAAUACGGUAAUCAUAUACUCAUAUUUAGAAUCCUUCUUAUUCAGAUAUAGCAUGGUUCUUCAAUUC
RNAcentral lists this long non-coding RNA (710 nucleotides) under Sinocyclocheilus anshuiensis. RNAcentral describes it as "lncRNA (ENSSANG00000036790.1)". Lineage: Eukaryota; Metazoa; Chordata; Actinopteri; Cypriniformes; Cyprinidae. The record is from RNAcentral.